CAGUCGCCGCGGUAAUACGUAGGUGGCAAGCGUUGUCCGGAAUUAUUGGGCGUAAAGCGCGCGCAGGUGGUUUAAUAAGUCUGAUGUGAAAGCCCCCGGCUCAACCGGGGAGGGUCAUUGGAAACUGGGAAACUUGAGUGCAGAAGAGGAGAGUGGGAUUCCACGUGUAGCGGUGAAAUGCGUAGAGAUGUGGAGGAACACCAGUGGCGAAGGCGACUCUCUGGUCUGUAACUGACGCUGAGGAGCGAAAGCGUGGGGAGCGAACAGGAUUAGAUACCCCUGUAGUCCCUGUCUCUUAUAA
Molecule: ribosomal RNA, 301 nt
Filed under: uncultured bacterium
Lineage: Bacteria
Description: partial 16S ribosomal RNA
Rfam family: Bacterial small subunit ribosomal RNA
Source: RNAcentral